UCCGUAGGUGAACCUGCGGAGGGAUCAUUACAGAGUUACUACUCCAAAACCCAUUGUGAACCUUACCUAUGUUCUGUUGCCUCGGCGGCGUGGUCAGCGCCCCCUCUGAAAAGAGGACGAUGCCCUCCCGCCGGCAGCACCAAACUCUUGAAUUUUACAGCGGAUUACAGUUCUGAUUUGAAAAGAAAAAACAAGUUAAAACUUUCAACAACGGAUCUCUUGGUUCUGGCAUCGAUGAAGAACGCAGCGAAAUGCGAUAAGUAAUGUGAAUUGCAGAAUUCAGUGAAUCAUCGAAUCUUUGAACGCACAUUGCGCCCGGCAGUAAUCUGCCGGGCAUGCCUGUCCGAGCGUCAUUUCAACCCUCGAACCUCCGUUUCCUCAGGGAAGCUCAGGGUCGGUGUUGGGGCGCUACGGCGAGUCUUCGCGACCCUCCGUAGGCCCUGAAAUACAGUGGCGGUCCCGCCGCGGUUGCCUUCUGCGUAGUAAGUCUCUUUUGCAAGCUCGCAUUGGGUCCCGGCGGAGGCCUGCCGUCAAACCACCUAUAACUCCAGAUGGUUUGACCUCGGAUCAGGUAGGGUUACCCGCUGAACUUAAGCAUAUCAAUAAGCGGAGGA
Molecule: ribosomal RNA, 614 nt
Filed under: Scedosporium boydii
Lineage: Eukaryota; Fungi; Ascomycota; Sordariomycetes; Microascales; Microascaceae
Description: eukaryotic LSU rRNA
Rfam family: 5.8S ribosomal RNA (bases 200-353)
Source: RNAcentral